RNAcentral lists this small RNA (124 nucleotides) under Serratia marcescens. RNAcentral's name for it is "RtT sRNA". It matches the Rfam family "RtT RNA". Rfam says of the family: This family represents a bacterial cis-regulatory element known as RtT RNA. The record is from RNAcentral. RNAcentral also lists the same sequence under 3 other names. Lineage: Bacteria; Pseudomonadati; Pseudomonadota; Gammaproteobacteria; Enterobacterales; Yersiniaceae.
UAGUUUACCGAGUCGUGCAGGAUGAAGAACCGUAGAGGUUCGAGCAUCGCGUAGCGAUACGACAACGCGCAGCGUUGCCCGCAGGGUGAGGCCACAGGCCGAAUCAAUCCUGCACGACCCACCC